This 497-nucleotide ribosomal RNA is filed under the name Fragilaria sp. RCC5594. Its description in RNAcentral is "SSU rRNA". It matches the Rfam family "Eukaryotic small subunit ribosomal RNA", at positions 627 to 1129 of the family's 1831-position model. Lineage: Eukaryota; Bacillariophyta; Fragilariophyceae; Fragilariales; Fragilariaceae. The record is from RNAcentral.
CUCGUAGUUGGAUUUGUGGUUGGGUUCGUCGGUCCGGCACAUUGUGCGGGUACUUGAUGGACUCGUCCAUCCUUGGGUGGAAUCUGUGUGGCAUUAAGUUGUCGUGCAGGGGAUGCCCAUCGUUUACUGUGAAAAAAUUAGAGUGUUCAAAGCAGGCUUAUGCCGUUGAAUAUAUUAGCAUGGAAUAAUGAGAUAGGACCUUGGUACUAUUUUGUUGGUUUGCGCACCGAGGUAAUGAUUAAUAGGGACAGUUGGGGGUAUUCGUAUUCCAUUGUCAGAGGUGAAAUUCUUGGAUUUUUGGAAGACGAACUACUGCGAAAGCAUUUACCAAGGAUGUUUUCAUUAAUCAAGAACGAAAGUUAGGGGAUCGAAGAUGAUUAGAUACCAUCGUAGUCUUAACCAUAAACUAUGCCGACAAGGGAUUGGCGGUCGUUGUAUUGACUCCGUCAGCACCUUAUGAGAAAUCACAAGUCUUUGGGUUCCGGGGGGAGUAUGGU